UUUGUCCUACGGGGGGCAGCAGUGGGGAAUAUUGCACAAUGGGGGAAACCCUGAUGCAGCGACGCCGCGUGAGUGAAGAAGUAUUUCGGUAUGUAAAGCUCUGUCAGCAGGGAAGAAAGAAAUGACGGUACCUGACCAAGAAGCCCCGGCUAACUACGUGCCAGCAGCCGCGGUAAUACGUAGGGGGCAAGCGUUAUCCGGAAUUACUGGGUGUAAAGGGAGCGUAGACGGUUAAGUAAGUCUGGAGUGAAAGGCCGGGGCUCAACCCCGGGACUGCUCUGGAAACUAUUUAACUUGAGUGCAGG
This 305-nucleotide ribosomal RNA is filed under the name uncultured bacterium. Its description in RNAcentral is "bacterial SSU rRNA". It matches the Rfam family "Bacterial small subunit ribosomal RNA", at positions 333 to 652 of the family's 1533-position model. The record is from RNAcentral.